AUGGCGAAUGACUCCUUGACAAGGGCACAGAUAGUUGGAGAUGUUCUAGACCCAUUUGUUAGCUCGGUGCCUCUAACUGUGAUGUAUGAUGGGAGGCCUGUGUUCAAUGGCAUGGAGUUUCGCUCACCAGCAGUCUCUCUGAAACCCAGCGUUGAGAUAGGCGGUGAUGAUUUCCGUGUGGCCUAUACUCUAGUUAUGGUGGAUCCUGAUGCGCCUAAUCCCAGCAACCCAACCCUGAGGGAGUACCUGCACUGGAUGGUGACUGAUGUCCCAUCAUCAACAAACGAUAGCUUUGGAAAAGAGAUCGUGCCAUACGAGAGCCCAAGCCCUACCAUGGGCAUCCACCGCAUGGUGCUGGUUCUGUACCAGCAGCUGGGGCGGGGGACGGUGUUCGCGCCGCAGGCACGCCAGAGCUUCAACUCGCGCAGCUUCGCGCGCCGCUUCAACCUCGGCAAGCCCGUCGCUGCUGUGUACUUCAACUGCCAGCGUCCCACGGGCACCGGUGGGAGGAGGUUCACCUGA
RNAcentral lists this ribosomal RNA (522 nucleotides) under Triticum aestivum (bread wheat). RNAcentral's name for it is "partial small subunit ribosomal RNA". Lineage: Eukaryota; Viridiplantae; Streptophyta; Magnoliopsida; Poales; Poaceae. The record is from RNAcentral.